RNAcentral lists this small RNA (28 nucleotides) under Bombyx mori (domestic silkworm). RNAcentral describes it as "ovarian small RNA-23022". Lineage: Eukaryota; Metazoa; Arthropoda; Insecta; Lepidoptera; Bombycidae. The record is from RNAcentral.
UAGUCUAUGAUUGAAAGGCUGUAUGGAC